Molecule: transfer RNA, 64 nt
Filed under: Diapensia purpurea
Lineage: Eukaryota; Viridiplantae; Streptophyta; Magnoliopsida; Ericales; Diapensiaceae
Description: tRNA-Met
Source: RNAcentral
UACCUACGAGUGGAUUUGAACCAAUUACUUCUUCCAUAUGGACGCAAUACUCUAACCACUGAGU